CGCGCAGGCGGCCCGGCAAGUCGGGUGUGAAAUCUCGGGGCUCAACCCCGGAACUGCAUCCGAUACUGCCAGGCUAGAGGUAGGUAGGGGAGAUCGGAAUUCCUGGUGUAGCGGUGAAAUGCGCAGAUAUCAGGAGGAACACCGGUGGCGAAGGCGGAUCUCUGGGCCUUACCUGACGCUCAGGCGCGAAAGCUAGGGAGCGAACA
This 206-nucleotide ribosomal RNA is filed under the name uncultured bacterium. RNAcentral describes it as "partial 16S ribosomal RNA". It matches the Rfam family "Bacterial small subunit ribosomal RNA", at positions 568 to 774 of the family's 1533-position model. The record is from RNAcentral.